RNAcentral lists this ribosomal RNA (1358 nucleotides) under uncultured bacterium. RNAcentral describes it as "bacterial SSU rRNA". It matches the Rfam family "Bacterial small subunit ribosomal RNA", at positions 28 to 1381 of the family's 1533-position model. The record is from RNAcentral.
GAUGAACGCUAGCUACAGGCUUAACACAUGCAAGUCGAGGGGCAGCAUGGUCUUAGCUUGCUAAGGCCGAUGGCGACCGGCGCACGGGUGAGUAACACGUAUCCAACCUGCCGUCUACUCUUGGACAGCCUUCCGAAAGGAAGAUUAAUACAAGAUGGCAUCAUGAGUCCACAUGUUCACAUGAUUAAAGGUAUUCCGGUAGACGAUGGGGAUGCGUUCCAUUAGAUAGUAGGCGGGGUAACGGCCCACCUAGUCUUCGAUGGAUAGGGGUUCUGAGAGGAAGGUCCCCCACAUUGGAACUGAGACACGGUCCAAACUCCUACGGGAGGCAGCAGUGAGGAAUAUUGGUCAAUGGGCGAGAGCCUGAACCAGCCAAGUAGCGUGAAGGAUGACUGCCCUAUGGGUUGUAAACUUCUUUUAUAAAGGAAUAAAGUCGGGUAUGGAUACCCGUUUGCAUGUACUUUAUGAAUAAGGAUCGGCUAACUCCGUGCCAGCAGCCGCGGUAAUACGGAGGAUCCGAGCGUUAUCCGGAUUUAUUGGGUUUAAAGGGAGCGUAGAUGGAUGUUUAAGUCAGUUGUGAAAGUUUGCGGCUCAACCGUAAAAUUGCAGUUGAUACUGGAUAUCUUGAGUGCAGUUGAGGCAGGCGGAAUUCGUGGUGUAGCGGUGAAAUGCUUAGAUAUCACGAAGAACUCCGAUUGCGAAGGCAGCCUGCUAAGCUGCAACUGACAUUGAGGCUCGAAAGUGUGGGUAUCAAACAGGAUUAGAUACCCUGGUAGUCCACACGGUAAACGAUGAAUACUCGCUGUUUGCGAUAUACAGCAAGCGGCCAAGCGAAAGCGUUAAGUAUUCCACCUGGGGAGUACGCCGGCAACGGUGAAACUCAAAGGAAUUGACGGGGGCCCGCACAAGCGGAGGAACAUGUGGUUUAAUUCGAUGAUACGCGAGGAACCUUACCCGGGCUUAAAUUGCAGAUGAAUUACGGUGAAAGCCGUAAGCCGCAAGGCAUCUGUGAAGGUGCUGCAUGGUUGUCGUCAGCUCGUGCCGUGAGGUGUCGGCUUAAGUGCCAUAACGAGCGCAACCCUUGUUGUCAGUUACUAACAGGUUCCGCUGAGGACUCUGACAAGACUGCCAUCGUAAGAUGUGAGGAAGGUGGGGAUGACGUCAAAUCAGCACGGCCCUUACGUCCGGGGCUACACACGUGUUACAAUGGGGGGUACAGAGGGCCGCUACCACGCGAGUGGAUGCCAAUCCCAAAAACCUCUCUCAGUUCGGACUGGAGUCUGCAACCCGACUCCACGAAGCUGGAUUCGCUAGUAAUCGCGCAUCAGCCACGGCGCGGUGAAUACGUUCCCGGGCCU